AGCGCUGCCCCAGGAGAAGACCUGGUCAGCAGCACUGACAGAGACAGCCCAGCUGCCUGGCUCCCCACAGCCACUCUUGGUUUCCCACGGGUCUGUUACACCUGCGUUGUUAUGCACACAGUGUUCCUCCAACCCCCAUGACACUGCUGUCUCUGGACUCUGUGUGAAAUACUCAGACCCAGGUAUGUGCAUGUCCUGCACCCGCACGACACAGGGGUGUGUCACCUUGAAACCAGAAAUGCCAGAGUUUGUGCCGCCUUUACUACGAGAACCAAUAACUAGAGAGAAGGAUUGAAUCUUCAUGGGCGCUUUAUUCAGAGGCCAGCAACCUGAGAAGACGGCAGGCUCUGUACCCUCAAAAUCUGUCUUAACAUCUCAUCUCAGGCCAACCUCGUUAUAAGGAGAAGAAAGGGCAGUCACGGCAAAGACGUUCAGCUGCGCUUGUUAAUCCGCGCUGAGCGGCCAACAGACCGUUUGGAAAGAGGAGGAACGAGCCAGCUCCCGUUCCACUGAGCUUUCUCUGCACCCUCGGCGGACCGAUCUGACCACAUUUCCCCCCUUCUUGUUAAAUUAGCAGUUCAGCCGUC
Molecule: long non-coding RNA, 587 nt
Organism: Phyllostomus discolor (pale spear-nosed bat)
Lineage: Eukaryota; Metazoa; Chordata; Mammalia; Chiroptera; Phyllostomidae
Exons: 2
Source: RefSeq, a predicted model, not a curated record